CCGGCCCCUUUCCAGCCCCUUCCCUGCCUUCCUCCUUUUCUCAGUCAUUCCAGGACCCAGGCAGAAAGUCACACAGAACACUGUGUGUCUGUCAGCAGAUUCCUGGAAGGUCACGCUGAAUGAUGAAUGCUCCCGGGCCCCUUCUGGCCAAAGCAGGAUGUCCGGGGUUGGCUGUGGCCAGGGAGCCCGUCCUUGUCCAGCUCUUUUUACCGUUGCUCUUUCUGCCCUCCUAUCUCCCACUCCCAGAACCUGAUGUGGUCCUGGGGACAGAGACCUGACUCCGCUGUGAUCCCAGGUGACUGUAUCUUAGCCCCAGUUCCCUCAUAAGGGGAGUCUUGCCUGGCAAGGAAAUGGGUUUCAUCUUCAACGUCUGGUGCUUUACCUUGGAUACCCUGGCCUUUGGCAUCCCUCUCCCUCUUCUCAACCACACAUAUGCUGCUGCUGGUCAAGUUCAAGAUUCCAGGCUCUGGAAUGUCUUCUUGGAUGACAUCAGCCAUGGUUCCAGUGAGUUCUGCCAACUUCAGGUCUUUCAAGACUUUCCAGUCAAAUCCUUCUGCAUCUCACAAAUGCAUAAAAAUAGAGCCACUGAAGCAAG
This 595-nucleotide long non-coding RNA is filed under the name Bos indicus x Bos taurus (hybrid cattle). RNAcentral describes it as "lncRNA (ENSBIXG00000002947.1)". Lineage: Eukaryota; Metazoa; Chordata; Mammalia; Artiodactyla; Bovidae. The record is from RNAcentral.